RNAcentral lists this ribosomal RNA (301 nucleotides) under uncultured Bacteroidales bacterium. RNAcentral describes it as "bacterial SSU rRNA". It matches the Rfam family "Bacterial small subunit ribosomal RNA", at positions 224 to 522 of the family's 1533-position model. Lineage: Bacteria; Pseudomonadati; Bacteroidota; Bacteroidia; Bacteroidales. The record is from RNAcentral.
GAGGGGUUUGCGUCUGAUUAGCUUGUUGGCGGGGUAACGGCCCACCAAGACAACGAUCAGUAGGGGUUCUGAGAGGAAGGUCCCCCACAUUGGAACUGAGACACGGUCCAAACUCCUACGGGAGGCAGCAGUGAGGAAUAUUGGUCAAUGGGCGAGAGCCUGAACCAGCCAAGUAGCGUGCAGGAAGACGGCCCUAUGGGUGGUAAACUGCUUUUAUGUGGGGAUAAAGUGCGCGACGUGUCGUGCAUUGCAGGUACCACAUGAAUAAGGACCGGCUAAUUCCGUGCCAGCAGCCGCGGUA